UAUUGCGCAUAUGUCUGUUGAAUUAUAGUAAUAUAAUUUCGAGUAGUUUCAGGUAAGGUUCUUACAUUGAAACAAUGGUGUGUAUUAGAAUAUGUUUAUUCGGAAACUGUUAUUAUAAUAUUAUACACGUUUUUAGAUUAUCAUUUGUAGCGUACCUAACUAAAGUUUAAUAAAGUUAUAAUAUGUCGAUUUGAGUAAAGGGUACUAAGUAGAUUUGAAUAAUUGAUAUAAAACCUAUAGGAAAUUCUUUUUAACGCGCAAUGAAAAAACAACAACUGAAAUGAAACUAAUACGCCACCUAAGUAAAUAAUAAUUAGUGUUCAAAUGAUAUACGCCGCAGACGCCAUAUGCAAUUUAAACACACGACGCAUAAUCGAUACCUAUUUAACUACGUGGCAUAGAAAAAUAAGUUUUCAACAAAACAAUUUUGUUUUUAUGAUUUAAUUCAAAAUUCACGAAUGACCCUUAAGUAUUAGCUUAUAUAUACGUCAUAUUGAAUACAAUAUUAAUUCUAUAUAGACCCCUUUUGAAAUUUAACUUAAAUCGCUUAGAUUUUAUAUCCAUUACCCGUUGAACAAUGAUCGAAAUUGCAUAGUCAAAAUAUUUAUUUCCAAUCGCUCGUUAUUAGAGAAGAUUAUCGAUUUUAUACGAAAAAUGCGAAAUAUUCUCAAUUUUUUUUUUUACAGUCAAAAAUCAUUGCUUGUUUAAGGUCCAUACUUAAGAUUCGAAAAUAAAGUACAAAGUUUAUCGCAAGAUUUUUUAACUGGAAUAAAAAAAAAAUAUAUAUAUAUAUUGCCCUAGCUGAAUCUAUUCAGUGACGAUUCUGGCAGUAAAUUAUUCUGAAGGCGACAAUUUUGUACCAGCUACUAAACAUGUUAGCGCAUAUCCCCCAGUUCUCAAAACUCAUUUAUUUUGUUACAAUAUGUUUUAUUUUAACAACUUUUCUCGAACCAUAUUUGUUGUAGACCUACCUAAUUUUCGCGAUACGUAAAGAUUAAACAAGAACAUUAACUGUGCAAGAGCGUGCAACUUUUUUUGAUAUUACUAUCCAAUCAUUUUUUUUUAAGCAAAUGAAAAAAAAAAAA
Acyrthosiphon pisum (pea aphid) is the source of this 1085-nucleotide long non-coding RNA. RefSeq lists it as uncharacterized. The record is from RefSeq and is a predicted model, not a curated record. The transcript has 2 exons. Lineage: Eukaryota; Metazoa; Arthropoda; Insecta; Hemiptera; Aphididae.